GACGAACGCUGGCGGCGUGCUUAACACAUGCAAGUCGAACGGAAAGGCCCUGCUUUUGUGGGGUGCUCGAGUGGCGAACGGGUGAGUAACACGUGAGUAACCUGCCCUUGACUUUGGGAUAACUUCAGGAAACUGGGGCUAAUACCGGAUAGGAGCUCCUGCUGCAUGGUGGGGGUUGGAAAGUUUCGGCGGUUGGGGAUGGACUCGCGGCUUAUCAGCUUGUUGGUGGGGUAGUGGCUUACCAAGGCUUUGACGGGUAGCCGGCCUGAGAGGGUGACCGGCCAAAUGGGGCUUGGGAAGCGGCCCAGACGCCUAGGGGGGGAAGAGGGGGGGAAUUUUGAAAAAGGGGCGGAAGCGUGAUGCAGAAACGCGGGGGGGGGGAUGAGGGCCUUGGGGUUGUAACCCGCUUUCGCCUGUGACGAAGGGUGGGUGACGGUAAUGGGAAAAGAAGCACCGGUUAACUACGG
RNAcentral lists this ribosomal RNA (467 nucleotides) under uncultured bacterium. RNAcentral's name for it is "partial 16S ribosomal RNA". It matches the Rfam family "Bacterial small subunit ribosomal RNA", at positions 28 to 506 of the family's 1533-position model. The record is from RNAcentral.